This 399-nucleotide ribosomal RNA is filed under the name Staphylococcus aureus. RNAcentral's name for it is "partial 23S ribosomal RNA". It matches the Rfam family "Bacterial large subunit ribosomal RNA", at positions 2504 to 2904 of the family's 2925-position model. The record is from RNAcentral. Lineage: Bacteria; Bacillati; Bacillota; Bacilli; Caryophanales; Staphylococcaceae.
AUCGACGGGGAGGUUUGGCACCUCGAUGUCGGCUCAUCGCAUCCUGGGGCUGUAGUCGGUCCCAAGGGUUGGGCUGUUCGCCCAUUAAAGCGGUACGCGAGCUGGGUUCAGAACGUCGUGAGACAGUUCGGUCCCUAUCCGUCGUGGGCGUAGGAAAUUUGAGAGGAGCUGUCCUUAGUACGAGAGGACCGGGAUGGACAUACCUCUGGUGUACCAGUUGUCGUGCCAACGGCAUAGCUGGGUAGCUAUGUGUGGACGGGAUAAGUGCUGAAAGCAUCUAAGCAUGAAGCCCCCCUCAAGAUGAGAUUUCCCAACUUCGGUUAUAAGAUCCCUCAAAGAUGAUGAGGUUAAUAGGUUCGAGGUGGAAGCAUGGUGACAUGUGGAGCUGACGAAUACUAA